Molecule: unclassified non-coding RNA, 253 nt
Filed under: uncultured Myxococcales bacterium
Lineage: Bacteria; Pseudomonadati; Myxococcota; Myxococcia; Myxococcales
Description: contains 16S-23S intergenic spacer region
Rfam family: Bacterial small subunit ribosomal RNA
Source: RNAcentral
GACAGAGGGUGCGAGCGUUGCUCGGAAUUAUUGGGCGUAAAGCGCGUGUAGGCGGCCCGACAAGUGGGGUGUGAAAGCCCUCGGCUCAACCGAGGAAGUGCGCCCCAAACUAUCGGGCUUGAGUGCCGGAGAGGGAAGCGGAAUUCCCGGUGUAGAGGUGAAAUUCGUAGAUAUCGGGAGGAACACCAGUGGCGAAGGCGGCUUCCUGGACGGACACUGACGCUGAGACGCGAAAGCGUGGGGAGCAAACAGG